GUUUUUAUAGUAACGAGUAGUUUAACCGUUUGUUGGUCAUGUCGUUUUCCGCUAACUGCGUCUGCUGCAGACCGGACUCUGACUGCGUCUAACGGGACUGUACCACUUCUCAGGGAGACAGAUGAUGAGAAUCCCCACCACCAGGAGCCCUGCGAGGACUCCUCCUAUUAUAGCUGCUGUGGAUCCAAUUUUCAUGCUAGCUGGAGAAAAAAGACCAAAAGGGAGGUGGUGGCCUGUGGUUUUCCAUCAUCAUCACCAUAUAUAAGGACACUGCACUGGAAAUGGCCGUUUUCCUGCAUGUUUUUUCUGGGAGGACGUCCCAUUUCAGUAUAUAUUCAAUGAAGGAUGGAUUUGCAGGGACCCAGGAGCAGGUCAAGUCAACACUGCCCCCUUUUUCAGCCUCAUAUUUACUUUUUGGAAUGGACACCUGGAUACUCC
Molecule: long non-coding RNA, 438 nt
Organism: Oreochromis aureus
Lineage: Eukaryota; Metazoa; Chordata; Actinopteri; Cichliformes; Cichlidae
Exons: 4
Source: RefSeq, a predicted model, not a curated record